GGGAAUUCCCACCAAAUCUACGACGGAAAUAUUCGCCAUUGAAAUUUAUGAAUGUUGAUUUAAAAUUUCAAUAAAAGCAGUACAACAUGAUUGGCGGAUUCGUUUUCGUCUGUGUCCUGGCUGCUGCCUUGUAUGUCGCAUAUACUGGAUUUCCAAUGCCUCAGGGAAGUAACCGCACAUCUGAUCAUCAUUAUUUUGAGAGAGGAACCCGCCAAUCUGGUCAACAAACCACAAGAAGAUCUGGUUUCCACAUUUCCGCUAAUGUAUCAAUGGCAAGUCAGCAAACUGAGGAAACCGUAAUACAUGAUCAGACGCGACCAUAUCCUCCGAGGGAAAGUGUCGUUGUUCGAUCCAAUACGCUUGCGCAAGGCUCCUUACAACACAAUCAAUAAACCAGUUCACGAGUUAAUCCGUCCUGCAGUUCCAUCGGCGGGGAUAUUAGGAUAAACACUUUUAAGUAUGUUUUAGAAUAAACACUUUGUGCAUCGGUGCGUGACUGUUUUCCGGUGACUAUUUAAUGGUUUUAUACAUAUCUUUUCUUUAAAAUCCAGCAGGAAUAUAGUAAGCAUGAAGUUAAUACCCAUGACAUUCUCUUCCUUACAAACAUGCUUGCCCAAGCACCAGACUAUUGUAAACAUUGUAAUAAAUAAGCUCCCCAUUAAGAUAAAGUGCGCAAAAAGAACAUUUUAGUUAUUUGAAAAAGUUCAAAACAAUGAAUACGACACUAUUCACUGUGGUAUUUACAGAGUGGUCUAAAGGGAAAUAUUGUGGACUACGAAGAUAUCUACACGUGUGACAAUGAAUGUUAUGUAUACAUGAAUACAUUUAUCAAGGCAUUUUAAUGAUACUAGGGCCUAAAAAAAUGUUUGGUUAGGGUAACAUCCUAUUCAAAAAUAGGUAGGGUAGGUAGGCUUUUUUGAUUAGGCUUUAUAUAAGUUUGCCAUUUUCAUCAUAGGAUAAUGGUGUUAAAGUUAUCUUCUGUAUAAGCAUUUAAGAUUUUCAACUUCAAAGUGAAAAGCAAUCAAAAAAAGAUAAAUCUUCUUUUUUUUAGUUUUUUUUUUCAAUCUGACUAUAAAAACGGUAGGGUCGGCCCCUAUAUUGUAGGUAGGGUCGGGUAACCCGAACCAAAUGUAUUUUUUUAGGCCUAGUAUUUAUUCAUAUUAUGAAGGAAAGUUUGUAAGGUGUUUCUUUGAGGCAUGUCAGUUAAGUGCUUUAAACCUCAACCUGAAUAUACAUUUUGUGAAAAUAUAA
Molecule: long non-coding RNA, 1251 nt
Organism: Mya arenaria
Lineage: Eukaryota; Metazoa; Mollusca; Bivalvia; Myida; Myidae
Exons: 2
Source: RefSeq, a predicted model, not a curated record